RNAcentral lists this long non-coding RNA (204 nucleotides) under Capsicum annuum. RNAcentral describes it as "long non-coding RNA (CANN_LNC010424)". Lineage: Eukaryota; Viridiplantae; Streptophyta; Magnoliopsida; Solanales; Solanaceae. The record is from RNAcentral.
UUUGCUCCAACUUUAAAUGAUCAUAACUCCUUGUACAUAAUGAUCUGGGUGAUUUACUAUAUAUCAACAGAAAGCUCUGCGAGUCCUCUUUCCAAUGAAAUUGGUUUCAUCCAAUUUGUCUAUCAAAGCAAAAAGUUAUGGUCGAUCUACUUCAGCCUAUCAAAAGAAAAUUUUUGGGUCAACUUCAAACGAUCAUAACUCCUC